This 374-nucleotide ribosomal RNA is filed under the name uncultured organism. RNAcentral describes it as "bacterial SSU rRNA". It matches the Rfam family "Bacterial small subunit ribosomal RNA", at positions 525 to 896 of the family's 1533-position model. The record is from RNAcentral.
CGGUAGGGUGCGAGCGUUGUCCGGAAUUACUGGGCGUAAAGAGCUCGUAGGUGGUUUGUCGCGUUGUCCGUGAAAACUCACAACUCAAUUGUGGGCGUGCGGGCGAUACGGGCAGACUGGAGUACUGCAGGGGAGACUGGAAUUCCUGGUGUAGCGGUGGAAUGCGCAGAUAUCAGGAGGAACACCGGUGGCGAAGGCGGGUCUCUGGGCAGUAACUGACGCUGAGGAGCGAAAGCGUGGGGAGCGAACAGGAUUAGAUACCCUGGUAGUCCACGCCGUAAACGGUGGGUACUAGGUGUGGGUUUCCUUCCUUGGGAUCCGUGCCGUAGCUAACGCAUUAAGUACCCCGCCUGGGGAGUACGGCCGCAAGGCUA